GGGUUUGAUUCUGGCUCAGAUUGAACGCUGGCGGCAUGCCUUACACAUGCAAGUCGAACGGCAGCACGGGAGCAAUCCUGGUGGCGAGUGGCGAACGGGUGAGUAAUAUAUCGGAACGUGCCCAGUCGUGGGGGAUAACGUAGCGAAAGCUACGCUAAUACCGCAUACGAUCUAUGGAUGAAAGCGGGGGAUCGCAAGACCUCGCGCGAUUGGAGCGGCCGAUAUCAGAUUAGCUAGUUGGUGGGGUAAAAGCUCACAAAGGUGAUGUGGUUUAAUUCGAUGCAACGCGAAAAACCUUACCCACCUUUGACAUGUACGGAAGUCGCUAGAGAUAGCUUCGUGCUCGAAAGAGAGCCGUAACACAGGUGCUGCAUGGCUGUCGUCAGCUCGUGUCGUGAGAUGUUGGGUUAAGUCCCGCAACGAGCGCAACCCUUGUCAUUAGUUGCUACGAAAGGGCACUCUAAUGAGACUGCCGGUGACAAACCGGAGGAAGGUGGGGAUGACGUCAAGUCCUCAUGGCCCUUAUAGGUGGGGCUACACACGUCAUACAAUGGCUGGUACAAAGGGUUGCCAACCCGCGAGGGGGAGCUAAUCCCAUAAAGCCAGUCGUAGUCCGGAUCGCAGUCUGCAACUCGACUGCGUGAAGUCGGAAUCGCUAGUAAUCGUGGAUCAGAAUGUCACGGUGAAUACGUUCCCGGGUCUUGUACACACCGCCCGUCACACCAUGGGAGCGGGUUCUGCCAGAAGUAGUUAGCCUAACCGCAAGGAGGGCGAUUACCACGGCAGGGUUCGUGACUGGGGUGAAGUCGUAACAAGGUAGCCGUAUCGGAAGGUGCGGCUGGAUCACCUCCUUUCU
RNAcentral lists this ribosomal RNA (856 nucleotides) under uncultured bacterium. Its description in RNAcentral is "bacterial SSU rRNA". It matches the Rfam family "Bacterial small subunit ribosomal RNA". The record is from RNAcentral.